Molecule: ribosomal RNA, 497 nt
Filed under: uncultured bacterium
Lineage: Bacteria
Description: partial 16S ribosomal RNA
Rfam family: Bacterial small subunit ribosomal RNA
Source: RNAcentral
GAUGAACGCUGGCGGCGUGCCUAAUACAUGCAAGUCGAGCGAACGGACGAGAAGCUUGCUUUUCUGAUGUUAGCGGCGGACGGGUGAGUAACACGUGGAUAACCUACCUAUAAGACUGGGAUAACUUCGGGAAACCGGAGCUAAUACCGGAUAAUAUUUUGAACCGCAUGGUUCAAAAGUGAAAGACGGUCUUGCUGUCACUUAUAGAUGGAUCCGCGCUGCAUUAGCUAGUUGGUAAGGUAACGGCUUACCAAGGCAACGAUGCAUAGCCGACCUGAGAGGGUGAUCGGCCACACUGGAACUGAGACACGGUCCAGACUCCUACGGGAGGGAGCAGUAGGGAAUCUUCCGCAAUGGGCGAAAGCCUGACGGAGCAACGCCGAGUGAGUGAUGAAGGUCUUCGGAUCGUAAAACUCUGUUAUUAGGGAAGAACAUAUGUGUAAGUAACUGUGCACAUCUUGACGGUACCUAAUCAGAAAGCCACGGCUAACUACGUG